CUUAUCAAGAGCGACUGAGGGACAGGCCCUGUGAAGUCCGGCAACCUGCAUUUUUGUAAGGUGCCAAAUCCUGCGGUAUUACCGAGAGAUGAG
RNAcentral lists this non-coding RNA (93 nucleotides) under uncultured Ruminococcus sp. RNAcentral describes it as "SAM riboswitch (S box leader)". It matches the Rfam family "SAM riboswitch aptamer (S box leader)". Rfam says of the family: The SAM riboswitch is found upstream of a number of genes which code for proteins involved in methionine or cysteine biosynthesis in Gram-positive bacteria. The SAM riboswitch acts at the level of transcription termination control. The record is from RNAcentral. Lineage: Bacteria; Bacillati; Bacillota; Clostridia; Eubacteriales; Oscillospiraceae.